This 351-nucleotide ribosomal RNA is filed under the name Acrapex alemura. RNAcentral's name for it is "partial small subunit ribosomal RNA". Lineage: Eukaryota; Metazoa; Arthropoda; Insecta; Lepidoptera; Noctuidae. The record is from RNAcentral.
AAAAUUUAAAAUUAUAAUACUAAAAUAGUAAAUAAUUAUUUAUUAAAACUUAAAUAAUUUGGCGGUAUUUUUGUUUAUUUAGAGGAAUCUGUUUAAUAAUUGAUAUUCCACGAAUAAAUUUACUUAAUUUAUAAUUUUGUAUAUCGUUGUUAUAAAAAUAUUUUUUAAUAAAAUUAAUAUUUAAAAAUUAUUAUAAAAAUUUAAAUCAGAUCAAGAUGCAGAUUAUAAUUAAGAAUAUAAUGGAUUACAAUAAAAUUAUUUAAAUGAAUAUUAAUUUGUAAGAUUUAAUUGAAAGUGGAUUUAAAUGUAAUUUUAUUUAAUUUAAUAAAAUGAUUAAAAAUUAAAAUAUGU